CACCGCACCCGGCCUAAACCUUUUACUUAAGGCAUAUGUCAGACCCUGGUCAAAGUAAUACAAAAAAGGUAUACACAAAAAUUGUUUUAACUCCAAAAGGUGGAAUGUAACUCUUGGAGAACUUCUCCAGUAAGUAAACUCAGGUGUUAUACAGGAAGGAAAGAACUGUUGCCACUGGUAAAUUGUUCAUAGCUCUCACUUUCCUCAUGGGUUUUUUUUUUUUUUUUUGAGACGGAGUCUCACUCUUGUCACCCAGGCUGGAGGGUAUUAGCACAAUCUCUGCUCGCUGCAACCUCCACCUCCUGGGUUCAAGCAAUUCUCCUGCCUCAGCCUCCCAAGUAGCUGGGACUACAGCAUGCGCCACCACACGUCAUUAAUUUUGUAUUUUUAGUGGAGACGAGGUUUCACCAUGUUUGCCAGGCUAGUCAUGAACUUCUGACCUCAGGUGAUCCACCUGCCUCUGCCUUCCAAAGUGCUAGGAUUACAGGUGUGAGCCACCAUGCCUGGCCAGGAUAUUAAUUUUUAAAGUCUCCCUCUGUCACCAAGGUUGAAGUGCAGUGGUGCAAUCAUAGUUAACUGUAGCCUUGAACUCUUGGGCUCCUCCAGCCUCAGACUUCUUAGUAGCUGGGGACACAAGUACUUGCCACCACACUUGGCUAAUUUUUGUCUUAUUGGUAGAGACGAGGUUUUGCCAUGUGGCCCAGACGAGUCUUGAACUCCUGUGCUCAAACAGUCCUUGUGCCCUGGCCUCCCAAAGCGCUGGGAUUAUAGUUGUGAGGCAUUUUGCCCGGCCCUGCCUCAGCCUCUUAAGUAGAUAGAAGUUAUAGGCACAGGCCACCUCAGCCAGCUAAUUUUUAAAACUAUUUUAAAAUUUUAUUUUAGUAGCUUUUUUUAAAGACAGGGUCUUACUCUGUCACGUAGGCUGGAGUGCAGUGGCAGGAUCAUGGCUCAUUGCAGCCUCAACCUCCCUGGGCUCAGGUGAUCUGAUCUCACCCUUCCAAGUGGCUGGGACUACAGGCAUGUGACACCACACGCAGCUAAUGUUUGUAAAGACAGGGUUUUGCCUUGUUGUCCAGGACAGUCUCGAGCUCUGUGUUGCUAGCACUCCUCCCACCUUGCCAUCCUGCAGUCCUGGACCACAGGUUUCAGCCGUGGUACUUGGCCUCCCAGGUAGUUGUAUCCACAGUCCCUCCCUGCAGGUAACACUGCAAAUAACCUGUAGGUGGCAGCAGAGGCUGAGGGCAGUGAUCACUUUUAGGCCAGUAUGGAGGCCUCAGAGGGAGGGAAAUGGAGCUCCCUUGGGUGCUUCCUGGGUGGCCCAACCUCUUCUGCAAGUGGCCUCCAGCUGCUCAAAGCUGCUCCAGAAGCAGUAUGCAGAGGCCUGGAAAGCAGGAGACUCAUGUGCAGAUGCCCUUGAGGGGUGCUGUCCUUUCUGUGGUUGGACUUCUGGAGCCUGGGGCCAUAUCUGGGGAUAGUGUUUUGAUUUUUGACAUGCACAGGGUCCCUGGCAUCAGACAGUAAUCUGUAUAUAUGAAGGAAACCUGUGAAGGUCAGGUUUACAGACAAUUGUUUGGGACCUCACCUGGAAAAACCGUUUAUGAAGUUGUCUGUUUAGCUCAGAAGCUUAGACUGCUACCUGUUAAGAGUUUCUGGCUGGUGAAUAUGAAGGUCUGGAAGGAGGGGACUGGGGGUCUGGGAGAAGGCCUUGGCCACGUCUCAUCCCUGGUCGCCACUUUCUGAAGGACACCUGCCUCUCCCUCCUGAUCCAAUCUUGCCUGGCCUGGUCUUGGUUCCCCUCUGGCUCUGAGGUGAUGAGAUUGCUCCACUGCACAGAAUCUGUAAUUCCCACCACACACUUGAAACCCAAUGCAGAACAAAGGAGCAGGAACAGCCCUUUGAAUGAGGAAGAUGAUCAUAACCUGUCAAAAAAUCAGGAGCAAAUUUCACUAAAAUGAAAAUAUCCAACGAGCAAGUUGUAGGGAGGGAGCUCUGCAGGUCGGGUUACCCAGGGCUUCUAUUGUCACUCCAGGGUGAGGGGAUGGGGCCUGGACCCCCAUCCAGUCAGGAAGGCUGGGGUGGGCCCUGCCAACUGUACAUCCUGGGAAGGUGGGGAUGCAUUCCCGCUCUCACCUUGGUGACAGUGCCCACUGAGGUUGGGAUCUGGUCUUUCCAGCUGUGAGAGGGACAGGGUCCCUCUACCACAACUGUUGCCUGCGCUGUGACCUUCACUAGUCACGGGAACCCUAGAGAGGAAGUCGGGACACCUGAAAGCUGGGAAAUGGUACACAAGAAAACUCACACAGGGGAGAGGCUGUAUGAAUGUAACAUAGGUAUGGAAAGUUUUCCAUAGUACCAGAUCCUUUCCUAGACAUGAAAAGGAGUCAAACUGGCAAGAAGCCUUAUGAAUUAUGAAGCAUGAGCUAUCUAAAAUCUAGCUGCCAGGCAGUAUGAUUCCCAGUGAGCACCAAGUUCAUGACUGGGAUAUAGACACCUUGCUAUACCCUCACGUGGAAGAAAGAAGGCCAGGUUCUUGAAGGUUUCCUUCAUCACAUCCCUGUAGAGAUUCUUCUGUGAAGGAUUCAGCAAAGCCCAUUCCUCCUGGGUGAAGCUCACAGCUACAUCCUCAAAGGCCACUGAAUCCUGAAACAUCUCACAU
Molecule: long non-coding RNA, 2656 nt
Organism: Callithrix jacchus (white-tufted-ear marmoset)
Lineage: Eukaryota; Metazoa; Chordata; Mammalia; Primates; Cebidae
Source: RefSeq, a predicted model, not a curated record